ACCAGAACAAUCAAGUUCAAAGCUCUCAUGGUUGACUGGAGGUACAACAGUAAUACUCCCUCCGUCCCAAAAUAAGUGACUCAACUUUGUACUUAUUUUAGUACAAAGUUAGUACAAACUAUAUAUUAUUUUUGGGACGGAGGGAGUAGUAUUUACCUCUACAAUCAUGCACCGUCAUGACUGCAAUAUAUUAAUUAUAUACCAAACCAGAUUACGAGGAAGUGGUCACUGAGGUGGAUUAAAUUUUUGUUUGGAUGUUUGUAGAAAAUCAAAGGAGGUGUGAGUUCGGAAGUAAUACCUGGACUACCUAUGGGGAGUUCUAUGGUUGACGCAGAGGGGAUUGUUGCUUCAUGUAUAAUCAGGCCGCUCAAUAGUUGUGGGUUAGUAAGAAAGAACAUUGAAGGCAAAUUACUAAAAACAUUACACAAAUUCCAUAUACCUGGACCCUCUUUGGGGAGUAUAUUAACAUUGGUGUCUUCACCAAGAGCGUGUUGGAGGCCAUUUGUCGCAUCCAUCUGUCACUGUCGGUCUUCCUGCUGUUUCUUCUUCUGAUAAGAUUCUCGUCUCUUUGUGUUCAACUUAUCCUUUUGUUCUUGGUACCCUUGCUCUU
RNAcentral lists this long non-coding RNA (610 nucleotides) under Triticum aestivum (bread wheat). Its description in RNAcentral is "long non-coding RNA (TAES_LNC009661)". The record is from RNAcentral. Lineage: Eukaryota; Viridiplantae; Streptophyta; Magnoliopsida; Poales; Poaceae.